UACGGAGGAUGCGAGCGUUAUCCGGAUUUAUUGGGUUUAAAGGGUGCGUAGGCGGAUUUUUAAGUCAGCGGUAAAAUGUCCGGGCUCAACCCGGGCCGGCCGUUGAAACUGGGGAUCUUGAGUGGGCGAGAAGUAUGCGGAAUGCGUGGUGUAGCGGUGAAAUGCAUAGAUAUCACGCAGAACUCCGAUUGCGCAGGCAGCUUGCUAAUCCGCAUCUGACGCUGAUGCACGAAAGCGUGGGUAGCGAACAGG
RNAcentral lists this ribosomal RNA (252 nucleotides) under uncultured Bacteroidales bacterium. RNAcentral describes it as "partial 16S ribosomal RNA". It matches the Rfam family "Bacterial small subunit ribosomal RNA", at positions 524 to 776 of the family's 1533-position model. The record is from RNAcentral. Lineage: Bacteria; Pseudomonadati; Bacteroidota; Bacteroidia; Bacteroidales.